RNAcentral lists this ribosomal RNA (253 nucleotides) under uncultured bacterium. RNAcentral's name for it is "partial 16S ribosomal RNA". It matches the Rfam family "Bacterial small subunit ribosomal RNA", at positions 524 to 776 of the family's 1533-position model. The record is from RNAcentral.
UACGGAGGGUGCAAGCGUUAUCCGGAUUUACUGGGUUUAAAGGGUGUGUAGGUGGGCAGGUAAGUCAGUGGUGAAAUCUCCGGGCUUAACCCGGAAACUGCCAUUGAUACUAUCUGUCUUGAAUUUCCUGGAGGUAAGCGGAAUAUGUCAUGUAGCGGUGAAAUGCUUAGAUAUGACAUAGAACACCAAUUGCGAAGGCAGCUUACUACGGGAAUAUUGACACUGAGGCACGAAAGCGUGGGGAUCAAACAGG